This 270-nucleotide ribosomal RNA is filed under the name uncultured bacterium. Its description in RNAcentral is "partial 16S ribosomal RNA". It matches the Rfam family "Bacterial small subunit ribosomal RNA", at positions 525 to 796 of the family's 1533-position model. The record is from RNAcentral.
ACGUAGGGGGCAAGCGUUGUCCGGAAUUAUUGGGCGUAAAGCGCGCGCAGGCGGCUGAUUAAGUCUGGUGUUUAAGGCUGGGGCUCAACCCCGGUUCGCACUGGAAACUGGUUGGCUUGAGUGCAGAAGAGGAAAGUGGAAUUCCACGUGUAGCGGUGAAAUGCGUAGAGAUGUGGAGGAACACCAGUGGCAAGGCGACUUUCUGGGCUGUAACUGACGCUGAGGCGCGAAAGCGUGGGGAGCAAACAGGAUUAGAAACCCCUGUAGUCC